This 373-nucleotide ribosomal RNA is filed under the name uncultured organism. Its description in RNAcentral is "partial 16S ribosomal RNA". It matches the Rfam family "Bacterial small subunit ribosomal RNA", at positions 527 to 896 of the family's 1533-position model. The record is from RNAcentral.
GUAGGUGGCAAGCGUUGUCCGGAAUUAUUGGGCGUAAAGCGCGCGCAGGCGGUCCUUUAAGUCUGAUGUGAAAGCCCACGGCUCAACCGUGGAGGGUCAUUGGAAACUGGGGGACUUGAGUACAGAAGAGGAAAGCGGAAUUCCAAGUGUAGCGGUGAAAUGCGUAGAGAUUUGGAGGAACACCAGUGGCGAGGGCGGCUUUCUGGUCUGUAACUGACGCUGAGGCGCGAAAGCGUGGGGAGCAAACAGGAUUAGAUACCCUGGUAGUCCACGCCGUAAACGAUGAGUGCUAAGUGUUAGGGGGUUUCCCGCCCCCUUAGUGCUGCAGCUAACGCAUUAAGCACUCCGCCUGGGGAGUACGGCCGCAAGGCUG